Molecule: ribosomal RNA, 988 nt
Filed under: uncultured Staphylococcus sp.
Lineage: Bacteria; Bacillati; Bacillota; Bacilli; Caryophanales; Staphylococcaceae
Description: bacterial SSU rRNA
Rfam family: Bacterial small subunit ribosomal RNA
Source: RNAcentral
ACAUGCAAGUCGAGCGAACAGAUAAGGAGCUUGCUCCUUUGACGUUAGCGGCGGACGGGUGAGUAACACGUGGGUAACCUACCUAUAAGACUGGAAUAACUCCGGGAAACCGGGGCUAAUGCCGGAUAACAUAUAGAACCGCAUGGUUCUAUAGUGAAAGAUGGUUUUGCUAUCACUUAUAGAUGGACCCGCGCCGUAUUAGCUAGUUGGUAAGGUAAUGGCUUACCAAGGCGACGAUACGUAGCCGACCUGAGAGGGUGAUCGGCCACACUGGAACUGAGACACGGUCCAGACUCCUACGGGAGGCAGCAGUAGGGAAUCUUCCGCAAUGGGCGAAAGCCUGACGGAGCAACGCCGCGUGAGUGAUGAAGGGUUUCGGCUCGUAAAACUCUGUUAUUAGGGAAGAACAUAUGUGUAAGUAACUGUGCACAUCUUGACGGUACCUAAUCAGAAAGCCACGGCUAACUACGUGCCAGCAGCCGCGGUAAUACGUAGGUGGCAAGCGUUAUCCGGAAUUAUUGGGCGUAAAGCGCGCGUAGGCGGUUUCUUAAGUCUGAUGUGAAAGCCCACGGCUCAACCGUGGAGGGUCAUUGGAAACUGGGAAACUUGAGUGCAGAAGAGGAAAGUGGAAUUCCAUGUGUAGCGGUGAAAUGCGCAGAGAUAUGGAGGAACACCAGUGGCGAAGGCGACUUUCUGGUCUGUAACUGACGCUGAUGUGCGAAAGCGUGGGGAUCAAACAGGAUUAGAUACCCUGGUAGUCCACGCCGUAGACGAUGAGUGCUAAGUGUUAGGGGGUUUCCGCCCCUUAGUGCUGCAGCUAACGCAUUAAGCACUCCGCCUGGGGAGUACGACCGCGAGGUUGAAACUCAGAGGAAUUGACGGGGACCCGCACAACGGUGGAACAUGUGGUUUAAUUCGAAGCAACGCGAAGAACCUUACCAAAUCUUGACGUCCUUUGACCACUCUGGAGAUAGAGCUUUCCGCUUCG